Molecule: ribosomal RNA, 327 nt
Filed under: uncultured eukaryote
Lineage: Eukaryota
Description: partial 18S ribosomal RNA
Rfam family: Eukaryotic small subunit ribosomal RNA
Source: RNAcentral
CCCUUAGAUGUUCUGGGCCGCACGCGCGCUACACUGACGAAUGCAACGAGCUUAUAACCUUGGCCGAAAGGUCUGGGUAAUCUCCAAAUUUCGUCGUGAUGGGGAUAGAUUAUUGCAAUUAUUAAUCUUCAACGAGGAAUGCCUAGUAAGCACAAGUCAUCAGCUUGCGUUGAUUACGUCCCUGCCCUUUGUACACACCGCCCGUCGCUCCUACCGAUUGAAUGGUCCGGUGAAGCGUUCGGACCGUGGCCUUUGGACGGUUCGCCGUCUGUUGGCUGCGGGAAGUUCGUUAAACCUUAUCAUUUAGAGGAAGGAGAAGUCGUANCA